Small nuclear RNA from Perognathus longimembris pacificus (Pacific pocket mouse), 107 nucleotides. The record is from RefSeq and is a predicted model, not a curated record. NCBI's taxonomy places the organism in Eukaryota, Metazoa, Chordata, Mammalia, Rodentia, Heteromyidae.
GUGCUCGCUUCGGCAGCACAUAUACUAAAAUUAGAAUGAUACAGAGAUUAGCAUGUCCUCUCCCUGUCAAGGAUGACACGCAAAUUCGUGAAGUGUUCCAUAUGUUU